RNAcentral lists this ribosomal RNA (485 nucleotides) under uncultured bacterium. RNAcentral describes it as "partial 16S ribosomal RNA". It matches the Rfam family "Bacterial small subunit ribosomal RNA", at positions 29 to 506 of the family's 1533-position model. The record is from RNAcentral.
AUUGAACGCUGGCGGCAUGCCUUACACAUGCAAGUCGAACGGCAGCACGGGUGCUUGCACCUGGUGGCGAGUGGCGAACGGGAGAGUAAUACAUCGGAACAUGUCCUGUAGUGGGGGAUAGCCCGGCGACAGCCGGAUUAAUACCGCAUACGAUCUACGGAUGAAAGCGGGGGACCUUCGGGCCUCGCGCUAUAGGGUUGGCCGGUGGCUGAUUAGCUGGUUGGGGGGGUAAAGGCCUACCAAGGCGACGAUCAGUAGCUGGUCUGAGAGGACGACAGGCCACACUGGGACUGGAACAGGGCCAGGACUCCUAGGGGAGGCAGCAGUGGGAAAUUUGGGACAAUGGGCGAAAGCCUGACCCAGCAAGGCGGCGGGGGUGAAGAAGGCCUUCGAGUUGUAAAGCACUUUUGUCCGGAAAGAAAUCCUUGGCCCUAAUACGGUCGGGGGAUGACGGUACCGGAAGAAUAAGCACCGGCUAACUACGG